Long non-coding RNA from Mercurialis annua (annual mercury), 770 nucleotides. RefSeq lists it as uncharacterized. The record is from RefSeq and is a predicted model, not a curated record. Lineage: Eukaryota; Viridiplantae; Streptophyta; Magnoliopsida; Malpighiales; Euphorbiaceae. The transcript is spliced from 3 exons.
GCAAAGCCUAUGCAUAAUAUUAACCUAUAAUAUUAAGCCCAUGCAAAUUGCCCAUGAUCAUUGUUUCACUUAUGUACAGGUAUGGCCUGUUUAAUUUUGUUAAGUCUAUUGUUAUUAUCUUGCCCGUUGCUUUUAUAUUCCUUCCAUUUAUAUCACGUUUUCUUAACCUAAUUUAUUCAUCACUUAAACCUAACCCUAGCCGUCAAUUUUAUCUCAAAACCUCUAAAACAUCGCUGUUCAAAUCAUCCUCUUUAUGCUCGUGAAAUUAGCGUUAUAUUUGGAUCCGUCUUGUCCCUGUGAUACUAGACUCACGCCUCUACGAUUCUCAACUUCGUUUUCUCAUUCGACUCUUCGACUACUCGCGCUCCGGAGUCGAAACAGGGUUAGCUGUUUGCCAAGAUCACGUGGAUAAGCAAGCUGUGAGUUUAUAUUUACUAUUUACCGCUUUAUUAAGUAAAUUGUUAUUUUAAUAUUAAAUAUAUAUACUGUACGUAUAUUUCGAACUGUUUUUAUAUUAUGGCUCUUAGUUGGAACGUGCUACCUAAUGGGCAUCAUUAGGACUGCGUGCGCACCGGUAAAGAUCUGGAAAAGGUAAUUAUGGUAAUGUGGUAACUCGGUAUGAGCAUAGCUCUCGGGACCAAGUAGAGUAACUCGGUGUAGCUCGGCUCUCGGGACUCUGGUAUAAGUGUGGUCAGUGGUAACUCGGUGUAGCUCAGCUCUCGGGACCAGACCUAUUGGAUUAUGUUAUUUAUGUAGAAUUGUGGAUUAGG